RNAcentral lists this ribosomal RNA (460 nucleotides) under uncultured bacterium. RNAcentral describes it as "partial 16S ribosomal RNA". It matches the Rfam family "Bacterial small subunit ribosomal RNA", at positions 338 to 795 of the family's 1533-position model. The record is from RNAcentral.
CCUACGGGGGGCUGCAGUGAGGAAUAUUGGUCAAUGGACGAGAGUCUGAACCAGCCAAGUAGCGUGAAGGAUGACUGCCCUAUGGGUUGUAAACUUCUUUUACACAGGAAUAACACGAGGCACGUGUGCCUUUUUGCAUGUACCUUACGAAUAAGGACCGGCUAAUUCCGUGCCAGCAGCCGCGGUAAUACGGAGGUUCCGAGCGUUAUCCGGAUUUAUUGGGGUUAAAGGGAGCGUAGAUGGGUUGUUAAGUCAGGUGUGAAAGUUUGCGGCUCAACCGGAAAAUUGCAAUUGAUACUGGAAGUCUUGAGUACAGUUGAGGUAGGCGGAAUUCGUGGUGUAGCGGUGAAAUGCUUAGAUAUCACGAAGAACCCCGAUUGCGAAGGCAGCUUACUAAACUGUGACUGACAUUGAUGCUCGAAAGUGUGGGUAUCAAACAGGAUUAGAUACCCGAGUAGUC